Molecule: ribosomal RNA, 459 nt
Filed under: uncultured bacterium
Lineage: Bacteria
Description: partial 16S ribosomal RNA
Rfam family: Bacterial small subunit ribosomal RNA
Source: RNAcentral
CUACGGGGCGCUGCAGUGGGGAAUAUUGGACAAUGGGCGCAAGCCUGAUCCAGCCACGCCGCGUGAAGGAAGAAGGUCUUCGGAUCGUAAACUUCUGUUGAGAGGGAAGAAAGGACGCUGAAGAGGCGUAGAUGACGGUACCUCUUUAGAAAGCACCGGCUAACUCCGUGCCAGCAGCCGCGGAUAAUACGGAGGGUGCGAACGUUGCUCGGAAUCACUGGGCGUAAAGAGCUCGUAGGCUGUUGUACAAGUUAGGUGUGAAAUCCCCGGGCUUAACCUGGGAAGUGCACUUAAAACUGUGCAGCUUGAGUAUAGUAGAGGAUAGCGGAAUUCCCGGUGUAGAGGUGAAAUUCGUAGAUAUCGGGAGGAACAUCUGAGGCGAAGGCGGCUAUCUGGGCUAGAACUGACGCUGAGGAGCGAAAGCGUGGGGAGCAAACAGGAUUAGAUACCCGGGUAGUC